Saccostrea echinata is the source of this 556-nucleotide long non-coding RNA. RefSeq lists it as uncharacterized. The record is from RefSeq and is a predicted model, not a curated record. Lineage: Eukaryota; Metazoa; Mollusca; Bivalvia; Ostreida; Ostreidae. The transcript is spliced from 3 exons.
GGUGCGAGAAAUGACGGCAUUUCCCUCUCCUGGGGGUGGGAGCUGUAGGUAUAGAUAGCUAGCGAGUAUGUAGGGGGUAUUGUAUAAGUAUUGUCCAGACCAGGAUAAUCAUUUAUAAUCGUAAAGUCCUGUACACUAAAUAUCUUUAAAGUGACAGAGAUACUCCAAGAAAUAGUUUAAACGUUACUGGAGACCAAGCUAUGAAGAGUUUUAUCAUCACAUCCUUCAUCUUUAUCACCGUUGCCGAGCGUGUAACAAGUAAUCCCUUACAGCCUUACUUGGUUCAUCCUCGCUGUGCUAAGGCGUGCUCUGAGAUGCUGAUUGCCAAGUAUCCCUUCCAAAAUCUAUGUUGUUUUUAUGCACGAUGGAAAACUUGUUUAAGGACCUAUACCACAUGUGAGUCACGUGACAUGUCACUUUGGAUUGACAUGGGCUGUAACAUGUGUAAGACCACACAUGCGAAGUGGGACAAAGGGAGAAAAUAUUUUCAGAAUAAAAAAUGGAAGAACUUACUUAGUAGAUCGAAAAAGUACAAUAAAGGACUGAAAUUCUGACA